This 403-nucleotide ribosomal RNA is filed under the name Verrucomicrobiota bacterium. Its description in RNAcentral is "Verrucomicrobia bacterium partial 16S ribosomal RNA". It matches the Rfam family "Bacterial small subunit ribosomal RNA", at positions 355 to 776 of the family's 1533-position model. The record is from RNAcentral. Lineage: Bacteria; Pseudomonadati; Verrucomicrobiota.
UGGGGAAUCUUGCACAAUGGGGGCAACCCUGAUGCAGCGACGCCGCGUGAGCGAUGAAGGUUUUCGAAUCGUAAAGCUCUGUCCUAUGGGAAGAUAAUGACGGUACCAUAGGAGGAAGCCCCGGCUAACUACGUGCCAGCAGCCGCGGUAAUACGUAGGGGGCGAGCGUUGUCCGGAAUUACUGGGCGUAAAGGGUUCGCAGGCGGAAAUGCAAGUCAGUUGUGAAAGGCAGAGGCUCAACCUCUGUAAGCAAUUGAAACUGUAUUUCUUGAGAUGUGGAGAGGCAAGUGGAAUUCCUAGUGUAGCGGUGAAAUGCGUAGAUAUUAGGAAGAAUACCGGUGGCGAAGGCGACUUGCUGGACACAAACUGACGCUGAGGAACGAAAGCGUGGGUAGCAAACAGG